UAGGGAAUCUUCCACAAUGGACGCAAGUCUGAUGGAGCAACGCCGCGUGUGUGAUGAAGGGUUUCGGCUCGUAAAACACUGUUGUAAGAGAAGAAUGACAUUGAGAGUAACUGUUCAAUGUGUGACGGUAUCUUACCAGAAAGGAACGGCUAAAUACGUGCCCG
This 164-nucleotide ribosomal RNA is filed under the name uncultured bacterium. Its description in RNAcentral is "partial 16S ribosomal RNA". It matches the Rfam family "Bacterial small subunit ribosomal RNA", at positions 355 to 511 of the family's 1533-position model. The record is from RNAcentral.